RNAcentral lists this ribosomal RNA (481 nucleotides) under uncultured bacterium. RNAcentral's name for it is "partial 16S ribosomal RNA". It matches the Rfam family "Bacterial small subunit ribosomal RNA", at positions 28 to 507 of the family's 1533-position model. The record is from RNAcentral.
GACGAACGUUGGCGGCGUGCUUAAUACAUGCAAGUCAACUGAAGCAGUGGUAGCAAUAUCGCUGUGGAGGUGGCGCACGGGUGAGUAACACGUAGGUAAUCUGCCUUCAGGUCUGGCAUAACUCCGGGAAACCGGGGCUAAUAGCAGAUGAUGCAGCGGCUCGACAUCGAGACAGUUGUUAAAGCUAUGGCGCCUGAAGAUGAGCCUGCGUCUGAUUAGCUAGUUGGCGGGGUAACGGCCCACCAAGGCAACGAUCAGUAGCUGGUCUGAGAGGAUGAUCAGCCACACUGGAACUGAGACACGGUCCAGACUCCUACGGGAGGCAGCAGUAAGGAAUAUUGCUCAAUGGGAGAAAUCCUGAAGCAGCAACGCCGCGUGAGGGACGAAGGGCUUCUGCUUGUAAACCUCUGUAGUGAGAGAAAAAAAUCCCAAUCUUUGGGACAUGAUGGUAUCUCAAAAGUAAGCCCCGGCUAACUACGUG